GCUAUAGCCUCCCCUAAGAAAGACAAAGACACCACCUGCCUGGCCCUUUACCUCUACAGGCAGCUCCUGGGAACACGCACAACAAGCCUAUCCUAACUGAAGUAAUGGUGAGAAAAGAGUUAGUAGUUACCAACGUUGGACUGAAAUAUUGCCAAUCUCUAUCUGGUAAUGAAGGAGUUUUGACAAAACAAGGAAACUGAGAUGCAGCAAGGUUAGGUAAUUCCUCCAAGGUUUCCUGGCUGGUGAGUGGUGGAGAGUUUGAAUAUGAUCAGCACGGAUCUAGAGCCCUUGCAACUAACCACCACCCGUGGGUCCCAGCAUAAGUCCCUGGUAGAGAAUGGCUGUCAUACAGGGAGAUAUUGAGCUUCCCAGGACUGACAAGACCAACGACACACACAGUAUCUUCAGCAGCCGUGGGCCAUCUCCUCAUGCCUCCAGACUACUGGGGUCCCUUAUGCUCAGUCAGGAAGUUGGAACUGAGAGAAACUAUCUGACAGUGACACAGGCUUCUGCUUUGCACAUUGCAUGUCAGCCUUGCCCUGAUGAGAUUGAAGUGAUAUCUAUAGUGGGUGUGCUCUUUCUCACUCUCCUGGCUUGUGUUGCUGUAUGGGAAUCCAGCUGCCAUGCCAUAAGGCCGCACUGAGGAGAACACUGCCAACAGCCAUGGGAGUGAGCUCGGAAGCAGAUCCUUCAAGUUGAGCCUAGAGAUGACUGCACCUCUAGACAACACCUUGACUGAAGCUUCGUAGGAGACCCCAACAAGAACCAUUGGCUAAGCUGCUUCUGAAAUCCUGACCCACAGAAACUGUGCCAUAA
This is a long non-coding RNA of Canis lupus familiaris (dog), 816 nucleotides long. RefSeq lists it as uncharacterized. The transcript is spliced from 3 exons. Lineage: Eukaryota; Metazoa; Chordata; Mammalia; Carnivora; Canidae. The record is from RefSeq and is a predicted model, not a curated record.